AACGAACGCUGGCGGCAUGCCUAACACAUGCAAGUCGAACGAGACCUUCGGGUCUAGUGGCGCACGGGUGCGUAACGCGUGGGAACCUGCCCUUAGGUUCGGAAUAACUCCCCGAAAGGGGUGCUAAUACCGGAUAAUGUCUUCGGACCAAAGAUUUAUCGCCUUUGGAUGGGCCCGCGUUGGAUUAGCUAGUUGGUAGGGUAAAAGCCUACCAAGGCGCCGAUCCAUAGCUGGUCUGUGAGGAUGAUCAGCCACACUGGGACUGAGACACGGCCCAGACUCCUACGGGAGGCAGCAGUGGGGAAUAUUGGAAAAUGGGCGAAAGCCUGAUCCAGCAAUGCCGCGUGAGUGAUGUAGGCCUUAGGGUUGUAAAGCUCUUUUACCCGGGAUGAUAAUGACAGUACCGGGAGAAUAAGCUCCGGCUAACUCCGUG
RNAcentral lists this ribosomal RNA (433 nucleotides) under uncultured bacterium. Its description in RNAcentral is "partial 16S ribosomal RNA". It matches the Rfam family "Bacterial small subunit ribosomal RNA", at positions 29 to 507 of the family's 1533-position model. The record is from RNAcentral.